ACCCCGCUGAAAUUAAGCAUAUCAGUAAGCGGAGGAAAAGAAACUAACCAGGAUUCUCUUAGUAACGGCGAGUGAACAGAGAUUAGCCCAGCACCGAAGCCUAUUCGCGUUUGUGGACAAGGCAAUGUGGUGUUAAGGUGUUUGCCUGGGGUUACCAGUCUAUUCGAAGUCCAGCAUAGAUUAUGGCUCUGGAUUGUGCCCAUAGCGGGUGAAAGGCCCGUACGGAUAGACAUUAAGCAAUGUUGGUAGCCCUUAGCUGCAUUCACCUUGGAGUCGGAUAGCUUGAGAAUGCUGUCCAAAGUGGGUGGUAAACUCCAUCCAAGGCUAAAUACCUGCACGAGUCCGAUAGUCGACAAGUACCGUGAGGGAAAGUUGAAAAGUACUCUGAAGAGAGAGUAAAUAGUACGUGAAACCGCCUGUAUGGAAGCUGGUGGAGUCAAGCUGCAUGCCCGAGGAAUUGAGCCAUGUAAUAAUUGGUUGCAUUGUGGUGGAGACGGUGGAUUUGCUUGGAAAGAGCAUGGCAAUGUAUGUUGCUACAUGACGCACAGGGUUGUGCGUGUGGGUCCAUCGUCCUGCGCCUAUGUUGCUGGUGUACUUUUCUCGUGGCAGACAUCACGAUGGAUAUGCGUUGUUGGCGUAUGGUAGCCUAACCAAUUGGUGAUGGGUUUUCAAUUCAUGCCUUUUGGGAUGGCAGUUGGCUUGAUUGACGGUUUCGGUCGUCCUUCAAGCUUAUCCAGGCCGAGGCCGGCCGGCUACCACGUGAAGCAUUUAGCCAUGCAAUGUAUCCGUGCUUAUGAUUGUGUCGCGCCUUCGUGCGCUUGCGUUCUCCGGCUCGCCGGGUUCGUUUCCGUGCAAGCGGUGCGGGCUGGCCGAUGCCGGGCUGCGUUUGUGUGUGAUCGCGUGGCAUGUGAAUCGUGGUGUUGUGGUAGACGUUCCACCCGACCCGUCUUGAACACCGGGACAAA
Molecule: ribosomal RNA, 965 nt
Filed under: Murraytrematoides sp. LL-2012
Lineage: Eukaryota; Metazoa; Platyhelminthes; Monogenea; Dactylogyridea; Diplectanidae
Description: eukaryotic LSU rRNA
Rfam family: Eukaryotic large subunit ribosomal RNA
Source: RNAcentral